UGGGGAAUAUUGCACAAUGGGCGAAAGCCUGAUGCAGCGACGCCGCGUGAGGGACGAAGGUCUUCGGAUUGUAAACCUCUUUCAGCAGGGACGAAGCGAAAGUGACUGUACCUGCAGAAGAAGCACCGGUUAACUACGUGCCAGCAGCCGCGGUAAUACGUAGGGUGCAAGCGUUGUCCGGAUUUAUUGGGCGUAAAGAGCUCGUAGGCGGUUCGUCACGUCGGAUGUGAAAACCUGGGGCUUAACCCCGGGCCUGCAUACGAUACGGGCGAACUAGAGUUCGGUAGGGGAGACUGGAAUUCCUGGUGUAGCGGUGAAAUGCGCAGAUAUCAGGAGGAACACCGGUGGCGAAGGCGGGUCUCUGGGCCGAUACUGACGCUGAGGAGCGAAAGCGUGGGGAGCAAACA
RNAcentral lists this ribosomal RNA (407 nucleotides) under uncultured bacterium. Its description in RNAcentral is "bacterial SSU rRNA". It matches the Rfam family "Bacterial small subunit ribosomal RNA", at positions 355 to 774 of the family's 1533-position model. The record is from RNAcentral.